GAUGAACGCUGGCGGCGUGCCUAAUACAUGCAAGUCGAGCGAACGGACGAGAAGCUUGCUUCUCUGAUGUUAGCGGCGGACGGGUGAGUAACACGUGGAUAACCUACCUAUAAGACUGGGAUAACUUCGGGAAACCGGAGCUAAUACCGGAUAAUAUUUUGAACCGCAUGGUUCAAAAGUGAAAGACGGUCUUGCUGUCACUUAUAGAUGGAUCCGCGCUGCAUUAGCUAGUUGGUAAGGUAACGGCUUACCAAGGCAACGAUGCAUAGCCUACCUGAGAGGGUGAUCGGCCACACUGGAACUGAGACACGGUCCAGACUCCUACGGGAGGCAGCAGUAGGGAAUCUUCCGCAAUGGGCGAAAGCCUGACGGAGCAACGCCGCGUGAGUGAUGAAGGUCUUCGGAUCGUAAAGCUCUGUUAUUAGGGAAGAACAUAUGUGUAAGUAACUGUGCACAUCUUGACGGUACCUAAUCAGAAAGCCACGGCUAACUACGUG
RNAcentral lists this ribosomal RNA (497 nucleotides) under uncultured bacterium. Its description in RNAcentral is "partial 16S ribosomal RNA". It matches the Rfam family "Bacterial small subunit ribosomal RNA", at positions 28 to 507 of the family's 1533-position model. The record is from RNAcentral.